CCUGCACCUUGACUUCCACCGUCUCAGAGUCUCUGCGAGCAGGGACCACUGCCAUCCUCUCACGCUUGCUGUCCUCUGUACACCCCCUUCCCAGCCCUUGUUGUCCCCCUACCCACAGAGCCAGCCUCAGACCGCACUUCAGAACGAGGUGCCCCGACCCUGUGGGCUGAGCUGGUCCCUGGGCUCGGGGCUGACGUCAUUCCAAAUGUCCACACUGUGUGUUUCUUGCUCCUGGGGGUCAAGUCCCUCCUGAGAGUCUCGGGUGGAGGGAAGUCAGCGAGUUUCUCAGGGUGAUAGAGCUGCCGCAUGAGCGGGGUCCACUCUGCCCCCGAGCCACAGACUCCUGGAAACAUAGCCAAGCCCGCUGCACCCAGGCAUAAAGCGCCCCCCACAGGGCCACCCGCGCAGUCCAGUCACGCCAAAGGCUGCUUCCAUAGGCUGUCCUCAGCUCAGCUCCGGAGGACCACAGCCCUCCUUCUGCCCCGGGAGGGGACGCUGAGUGAGGAGGGCAGCAAUGCCUGGGCUCUGCACUUCAGCCCCACUUAGCUGCCAGCUGCUUAAAAAUAGAAGGAAGAGAUUAAAAAGGAGCACGCGAAGCGGCUUUGAGGAAAGCCAUCAGCGGCCCAAAUGUGCAGACUAAUUCAAUUUCCGCAUCUUCCCGGCUCUGAACGUCCUGCGUACAGCUGCCAACAACACUUCAGCCCAGUUUGGGAAAGCCCCCCGCCCCUGCCUCCGGAAGGAGCCAUGGAGGGACAGCAGUGUCUCGGCCACACCUGUCCUUGGCAAAGAGACUUCUCCAUGGGGCUGCUCACAGGGUGGCCGUCGCCCCGUCCGUGUAAUCAUACACUGAGCGGGGAAGAGAGAUGGGCACCUGAAACGGGAGCGGAGGCACCCUUCCUAACCUCAUCUUGGCAGGGAUGUGCUCCGUCUGCUUCUGCUGCGAAACCCGAGUGAGCUCCAGGUGUAGGUCACCGGAUCCUGCUCAGAGGCGGUACUCCUGCUUCAUUUCAUGGAUGGACAAACUCAGACCCUGCAGGCUGCUUGCCCGAGCUGACAGACCCAGCAGGACAGAGGUGGCAUGGGCCCUCGGACUCUCCCCUGGCUGCUGCUUGCCCACCGGGGACCUGUGGCCUUGACAAAGUCACCCAGUGACCUGGACUUCAGUUCCCUGUCUCUUCAAAGGAACAAAUUCUGCACGUCACCAUGGCCCCAGAAGCCCAAGGUAACGUGAGACAAAGGAUGGGGAGCUUUGGGGAGGAAGAUAAAUGGGUCCAGUGUCUGAGGGCCGGCCGAAACUCAGUGCUCCAGAUGCUGGGAAACGCCACAUUUCCACUGGCCUUGGGUGACCUAGCAUCUUCUAGGGCCUGUGAGACACUGCACUGUAUCCGUCAGGGCAGGUGAGACUGUCCCAAAGCAGCAAACAGCCCCCAAGGCCCUGGGGCUUCAGGGAACUCAGUGUUCCAUGCCCAAGGGAGGAGGCCAGAGGAAUUUGACUUGCCAGAGGAGCUUGGAGACGCACGAGGUGGAAUCCCAUGCCUGCACGAGCUUCCUCAGCCCCCACAGCCUGCUGCACACCCCCUUGCCCGUGCCUCAGUGGACCAAGUAGCACAUGGUCAUACCUGCCCCUAGGCAGGGCCCAUGCUUUCUUCUGCUGCUGGACAGAGAGGCCAGGGCCAAGAUCCCCUCCUUGGAGCCUGCUGUUAACACCAAGGGGGCUCCAAGCAGGACCCUCAGAAAUAACCCCAAAGAAAGGAAUGCCCCAGUCCAGAAUGUAAACCCAGCACUUCUGGAAGCUGCCACCCAACGCAAACACGUGAAGGAAUACUGCCCCGCAUGUCCCCGGCCACAGGCAUUGGAUCCACUUUUGCACGCUGGAUUCGCGCUUGUCUUCCUAUGGAGAAUAGCUCCCCAGCCAACUGUGACACUUGGAGACUGAGUCACUAUUGAGGUUCAUCCUCGUCCUCCCACAGGAGAUGGAAACAAAAAAAACAUGUGGACACCGAGGCUUCCUUGUAUGUCUCCUGGAAGCAAUUGCUUAAUUAAUGACUAACAUGAAAUAAAAACAAACAGAACACAAACACACCCGCCCUCUCUGCCAGGGAGCAGGUUGAGUGCACAAGCAGAGGAAGUUAGAGACGCCACCCUUGGCAGGGGGAUCCUAGGUGCGAAGGUUUCUCUGACCCACCUGGUGGUCUGGGGCUGUUGACUUCCGGCUCUGUGCCUCAGUUUCCCCAUCUGGGAACUGAGAAGGACUGCUCAUCCGUGAGGGCAUUUAGUCCCUGGGCCACUCAAAACGCUUCCUACCCUCUACAAGAGUCGCCUUUCCUGUGUCCACCUCCACCGGCCUCUGCUGUCCUCUCUGCCAGGUUCCUGAGCCUGGCCGUAUGGCCUGUGCGCUGGGACCUGUAACAGCGCCUCCCCAGGUGGCCACGCUGGGUACAAAGGAUGCUGGGGACACUACACGCGAGGGCCAGUGCCCAGCAGCAGUCGCAGACUCGGAAGGCCGUGUUGUCUCUUCUUCCUGUCCUCCAUGUAAACUGAUGACUGCUCUAAGGAAGUAAGGUCACGGGCUCCAGGGCUGGGGAGGGCUGAGGUCUGCCGAGCUCAGGUGGGCAGCCUGGGAGGCUAACCUGAGUCACAGGCACACUGGGGCGGAGACAGAGGCUAAAGCUUGGACAGCUGUUCAAGGGCCUGAAAGCGCCCAAGCUCAUUUUGCCUCUCAUCCUACAGCAUUCACCUCUCCGCUGUCACGCUGCUCUCAGCCAAGGUCAAGCAGUCACAGGGUGCUUAACACAGGCUUGGCUUCUGC
This 2809-nucleotide long non-coding RNA is filed under the name Chinchilla lanigera (long-tailed chinchilla). RNAcentral's name for it is "lncRNA (ENSCLAG00000024826.1)". The record is from RNAcentral. Lineage: Eukaryota; Metazoa; Chordata; Mammalia; Rodentia; Chinchillidae.